This 1640-nucleotide ribosomal RNA is filed under the name wastewater metagenome. RNAcentral's name for it is "bacterial LSU rRNA". It matches the Rfam family "Bacterial large subunit ribosomal RNA", at positions 1394 to 2925 of the family's 2925-position model. The record is from RNAcentral.
AGGCGAGGCCGACAGGCGUAGUCGAUGGACAACGGGUUGAUAUUCCCGUACCGGCGAAGAACCGCCCAAACUAAUCCAGUAGUGCUAAGUAUCUGAAUCCCACUGACGGAUCCCUUCGGGGUGAUGCUGUGGGCCUAGCGUACGACCCCAUUCUGGUGCGGUUAGCGUAUUAACAGGUGUGACGCAGGAAGGUAGCCCAACCCGGGCGAUGGUUGUCCCGGGGCAAGUGCGUAGGCCGAGAGAUAGGCAAAUCCGUCUCUCAUUAAGGCUGAGACACGAUGCGGAUAAAAAGUGGGUGAUCCUAUGCUGCCAAGAAAAGCAUCGACGCGAGGUUCUAGCCGCCCGUACCCCAAACCGACUCAGGUGGUCAGGUAGAGAAUACCAAGGAGAUCGAGAGAAUCGUGGUUAAGGAACUCGGCAAAAUGCCCCCGUAACUUCGGGAGAAGGGGGGCCAUCCACUUAUUAGGACUUGCUCCGAAAGGGUGUGGUGGCCGCAGAGACUAGUGGGUAGCGACUGUUUAUUAAAAACACAGGUCCGUGCCAAGUCGCAAGACGAUGUAUACGGACUGACGCCUGCCCGGUGCUGGAAGGUUAAGAGGACCGGUUAGCCGCAAGGCGAAGCUGAGAAUUUAAGCCCCAGUAAACGGCGGUGGUAACUAUAACCAUCCUAAGGUAGCGAAAUUCCUUGUCGGGUAAGUUCCGACCUGCACGAAUGGCGUAACGACUUCCCAACUGUCUCAACCGCGAACUCGGCGAAAUUGCACUACGAGUAAAGAUGCUCGUUACGCGCAGCAGGACGGAAAGACCCCGUGACCUUUACUACAGCUUGGUAUUGGUGUUCGGUGUGGCUUGUGUAGGAUAGGUGGGAGACUGUGAAGCGGUGACGCCAGUUACCGUGGAGUCAUUGUUGAAAUACCACUCUGGUCACUCUGGAUAUCUAACUUCGAACCGUAAUCCGGUUCAGGGACAGUGCCUGGUGGGUAGUUUAACUGGGGCGGUUGCCUCCCAAAAUGUAACGGAGGCGCCCAAAGGUUCCCUCAACCUGGUUGGCAAUCAGGUGGCGAGUGUAAGUGCACAAGGGAGCUUGACUGUGAGACUGACAGGUCGAGCAGGGACGAAAGUCGGGACUAGUGAUCCGGCAGUGGCUUGUGGAAGCGCUGUCGCUCAACGGAUAAAAGGUACCUCGGGGAUAACAGGCUGAUCUUGCCCAAGAGUCCAUAUCGACGGCAUGGUUUGGCACCUCGAUGUCGGCUCGUCGCAUCCUGGGGCUGGAGUAGGUCCCAAGGGUUGGGCUGUUCGCCCAUUAAAGCGGUACGCGAGCUGGGUUUAGAACGUCGUGAGACAGUUCGGUCCCUAUCCGCUGCGCGCGUAGGAAAUUUGAGAGGAUCUGACCCUAGUACGAGAGGACCGGGUUGGACGAACCUCUGGUGUGCCAGUUGUUCUGCCAAGAGCACCGCUGGUUAGCUACGUUCGGGAUGGAUAACCGCUGAAAGCAUCUAAGCGGGAAGCCGGCCUCAAGAUGAGAUUUCCAUGCCUUCGGGCGAGAGGCUCCCAGCCAGACUACUGGGUUGAUAGGCCGGAUGUGGAAGCGCGGUAACGCGUGAAGCUGACCGGUACUAAUAAGCCGAUGACUUGAUAAC